UACGGAGGGUGCAAGCGUUAUCCGGAUUCACUGGGUUUAAAGGGUGCGUAGGCGGGUAAGUAAGUCCGUGGUGAAAUCUCUGAGCUUAACUCAGAAACUGCCGUGGAUACUAUUUGCCUUGAAUAUUGUGGAGGUGAGCGGAAUAUGUCAUGUAGCGGUGAAAUGCUUAGAUAUGACAUAGAACACCAAUUGCGAAGGCAGCUCACUACACAAUCAUUGACGCUGAGGCACGAAAGCGUGGGGAUCAAAUAGG
This 253-nucleotide ribosomal RNA is filed under the name uncultured bacterium. RNAcentral's name for it is "partial 16S ribosomal RNA". It matches the Rfam family "Bacterial small subunit ribosomal RNA", at positions 524 to 776 of the family's 1533-position model. The record is from RNAcentral.